GGGGGGGGCAAGCGUUUGUUCGGAUUUACUGGGCGUAAAGGGCUCGUAGGCGGCCAUUUAAGUCGGUUGUGAAAUCCCUCGGCUCAACCGGGGAACUGCGACCGAUACUGGGUGGCUUGAAGCCGGGAGAGGGAUGCGGAAUUCCAGGUGUAGCGGUGAAAUGCGUAGAUAUCUGGAGGAGCACCCGUGGCGAAGGCGGCAUCCUGGACCGGUCUUGACGCUGAGGAGCGAAAGCUAGGGGAGCGAACGGGAUUAGAUACCCCGGUAGUCCUAGCUGUAAACGAUGAAUGCUUGGUGUGGCGGGUAUCGAUCCCCUGCCGUGCCGUAGCUAACGCGUUAAGCAUUCCGCCUGGGGAGUACGGUCGCAAGGCUG
RNAcentral lists this ribosomal RNA (373 nucleotides) under uncultured organism. RNAcentral's name for it is "partial 16S ribosomal RNA". It matches the Rfam family "Bacterial small subunit ribosomal RNA", at positions 527 to 896 of the family's 1533-position model. The record is from RNAcentral.